UACGGAAGGCAGCAGUGGGGAAUAUUGCACAAUGGGCGAAAGCCUGAUGCAGCUAUGCCGCGUGUAUGAAGAAGGCCUUAGGGUUGUAAAGUACUUUCAUCGGGGAGGAAAAAACAAAACUAAUAAUUUUAUUUCUUGACGUUACCCGAAAAAGAAGCACCGGCUAACUCCGUGCCAGCAGCCGCGGUAAUACGGAGGGUGCUAGCGUUAAUCAGAAUUACUGGGCGUAAAGAGCACGUAGGUGGUUUUUUUAAAGUCAGAUGUGAAAUCCCUGGGCUUAACCUGGAACUGCAUUUUGAAACUGAAAUACUAGAGUAUCGUAGAGGGAGGUAGAAUUCUAGGUGUAGCGGUGAAAUGCGUAGAUAUCUGGAGGAAUACCUGUGGCGAAAGCGGCCUCCUAAACGAAUACUGACACUGAGGGUGCGAAAGCGUGGGGAGCAAA
Molecule: ribosomal RNA, 442 nt
Filed under: uncultured bacterium
Lineage: Bacteria
Description: bacterial SSU rRNA
Rfam family: Bacterial small subunit ribosomal RNA
Source: RNAcentral